ACCAAAUGUAGAACAGAGAACUG
RNAcentral lists this non-coding RNA (23 nucleotides) under Cricetulus griseus (Chinese hamster). Lineage: Eukaryota; Metazoa; Chordata; Mammalia; Rodentia; Cricetidae. The record is from RNAcentral.